GUAGGUGGCAAGCGUUGUCCGGAAUUAUUGGGCGUAAAGCGCGCGCAGGCGGUCCUUUAAGUCUGAUGUGAAAGCCCACGGCUCAACCGUGGAGGGUCAUUGGAAACUGGGGGACUUGAGUACAGAAGAGGAAAGCGGAAUUCCAAGUGUAGCGGUGAAAUGCGUAGAGAUUUGGAGGAACACCAGUGGCGAAGGCGGCUUUCUGGUCUGUAACUGACGCUGAGGCGCGAAAGCGUGGGGAGCAAACAGGGAUUAGAUACCCUGGUAGUCCACGCCGUAAACGAUGAGUGCUAAGUGUUAGGGGGUUUCCCGCCCCUUAGUGCUGCACCUAACGCAUUAAGCACUCCGCCUGGGGAGUACGGCCGCAAGGCUG
This 373-nucleotide ribosomal RNA is filed under the name uncultured organism. RNAcentral's name for it is "partial 16S ribosomal RNA". It matches the Rfam family "Bacterial small subunit ribosomal RNA", at positions 527 to 896 of the family's 1533-position model. The record is from RNAcentral.